Long non-coding RNA from Lytechinus pictus (painted urchin), 726 nucleotides. RefSeq lists it as uncharacterized. The transcript has 4 exons. The record is from RefSeq and is a predicted model, not a curated record. NCBI's taxonomy places the organism in Eukaryota, Metazoa, Echinodermata, Echinoidea, Temnopleuroida, Toxopneustidae.
CGACGAUUCGAAAUGAAACGAAGAAAUGAGAAGAAGCGAAGGUCCCCGGAGAGGUGAAUGAGGAUUUUACCACUAUGGACAUUUGAACAGUAUGCAGAAGAAGACGGAUCUGGAACUAGAAAGCAAGGCUCUGACUGGUCUACUACAGCAAGGAAUGUGCCAGCGGCCAAUCUGAUGAACAUGUGACAGAAGAUUUGGCAAUGGGUGAAGAAAUACUGAGAUUGAAAUGCAACCACAGGUGGAGGCUUCAACCAAACUUUUCAGACAGACAUGAGAUACAAAGUUACACAAGUAUAAAUGGUUGAAGGUUUAGGAGAGCCAGACAAGAAGGCAGGAAAUGUGAUGUCACUUUUACUUCAAUGAACAUGGACAGCAGCAGGAGCAACAACAGCAUCAGCAGCUGAAACUACAACUGCAGUAAGAGAUGCAACAACCACAGUGGUAAACAUCAACAGCAGUAGCAACAACGACAGUAGAAACAAAGCCAACAGCAAGGAUUCUAACAAGCAAUCAUACAAGCAACAACACAAGCGACAACAUCAAUAGAUGCAUCAGGAGAUGCAACAGCCACACUCGUAAACAGCAGCAGUAGCAGCGAUGACAACAGCAACCACACAGGCAACACCUUGAGCAACAUCAGUAGCAAAAAUAACUAAUUGCACCAGGAGAUGCAACAACCACACCCACAACACCAAGAGCAGCAAAAACAAACAGCAAUUCCAGCAA